RNAcentral lists this unclassified non-coding RNA (222 nucleotides) under Hevea brasiliensis (rubber tree). Lineage: Eukaryota; Viridiplantae; Streptophyta; Magnoliopsida; Malpighiales; Euphorbiaceae. The record is from RNAcentral.
UUAUCUAUCCCCAGGACCCGUUUCUUCCUUAAAGUUUUUGACACCACUGCUGGGCGUAACUCUUCCAAAUUAUAAUGGAUUUUUAUUUACUAGUUAUUGUAUUUUGUUUCAGUUUCCAUCAUUAAUCUAUCUCUAUGUAUCUUUUCAAAUUUAAGUGUCAUUAAUGCUUUUAUUAUGUCAGAAAUGUUAGUUUUUAAUCCUCAUGGAUCUGGAUUUUUUUUU